CUGGCUCAGGACGAACGCUGGCGGCGUGCCUAAUACAUGCAAGUCGAGCGGACAGAUGGGAGCUUGCUCCCUGAUGUYAGCGGCGGACGGGUGAGUAACACGUGGGUAACCUGCCUGUAAGACUGGGAUAACUCCGGGAAACCGGGGCUAAUACCGGAUGCUUGAUUGAACCGCAUGGUUCAAUUAUAAAAGGUGGCUUUUAGCUACCACUUACAGAUGGACCCGCGGCGCAUUAGCUAGUUGGUGAGGUAACGGCUCACCAAGGCAACGAUGCGUAGCCGACCUGAGAGGGUGAUCGGCCACACUGGGACUGAGACACGGCCCAGACUCCUACGGGAGGCAGCAGUAGGGAAUCUUCCGCAAUGGACGAAAGUCUGACGGAGCAACGCCGCGUGAGUGAUGAAGGUUUUCGGAUCGUAAAACUCUGUUGUUAGGGAAGAACAAGUACCGUUCGAAUAGGGCGGUACCUKACGGUACCUAACCAGAA
RNAcentral lists this ribosomal RNA (487 nucleotides) under Bacillus licheniformis. RNAcentral's name for it is "bacterial SSU rRNA". It matches the Rfam family "Bacterial small subunit ribosomal RNA", at positions 19 to 488 of the family's 1533-position model. Lineage: Bacteria; Bacillati; Bacillota; Bacilli; Caryophanales; Bacillaceae. The record is from RNAcentral.